RNAcentral lists this ribosomal RNA (468 nucleotides) under uncultured bacterium. RNAcentral's name for it is "partial 16S ribosomal RNA". It matches the Rfam family "Bacterial small subunit ribosomal RNA", at positions 28 to 507 of the family's 1533-position model. The record is from RNAcentral.
GACGAACGCUGGCGGCGUGCUUAACACAUGCAAGUCGAACGGAAAGGCCCUGCUUUUGUGGGGUGCUCGAGUGGCGAACGGGUGAGUAACACGUGAGUAACCUGCCCUUGACUUUGGGAUAACUUCAGGGAACUGGGGCUAAUACCGGAUAGGAGCUCCUGCUGCAUGGUGGUGGUUGGAAAGUUUCGGCGGUUGUGGAUGGACUCGCGGCUUAUCAGCUUGUUGGUGGGGUAGUGGCUUACCAAGGCUUUGACGGGUAGCCGGCCUGAGAGGGUGACCGGCCACAUUGGGACUGAGAUACGGCCCAGACUCCUACGGGAGGCAGCAGUGGGGAAUAUUGCACAAUGGGCGGAAGCCUGAUGCAGCAACGCCGCGUGCGGGAUGACGGCCUUCGGGUUGUAAACCGCUUUCGCCUGUGACGAAGCGUGAGUGACGGUAAUGGGUAAAGAAGCACCGGCUAACUACGUG